CCGGGCGACCAAACCGGCCCUGGAGCGGCCCCGGGCCGGCGCGGCGCUGCCGGGAACCCCGGCUCCUCCCCGCGCGGCCGCAGCCGGCGGAAUCGCUCCCGCCCCACGCCCGACUGCCUCCUCGGUCCCCGCCGCGCACCCUACCCCGCGGGUCCCCAGAAUCUCAGUUUGAAACUGAAGGUAUCGCUGCUGUCCUCAGCUCUCCUGGAUCUUCCGCCCACCCUGCCCAGGGCCUCUUCUCCAUACUAAUUCGCGGUGAAGCAGUCGGGGCGGCUUUACAGGGGCAUCCUCAGCUACGCCUUUCAUCAUAAGGAACGUAUGUGCAUCGAUGGAGCUCACCUAGUGCCAAGAGAGCAGCAAAAGGCAUUGAAAUAAGAAGCAGCUUCCUGCCAGCGGCAAGUACCUCUUGGUAGAGCCAUGUCGAUGCUGCCCUACUUGUCGAGGCCGGCGUGUGCUGACGGCACAGGGACUGACACUCUGGGCUCAGAGCCCACGUGGAGCAAGAAGGGAUGGCUCUUUCGCUGAGGUGCCCAUGGUGAUAUCGGAAGCUUGCUCCUCAGCUAACACCAGGAAGGCCACGCGUGUGAGCAGCCCGGCUUCUGAACCUGGUCCUGGCGUGGGUUAGACUCACCGGAUA
Molecule: long non-coding RNA, 637 nt
Organism: Balaenoptera acutorostrata (minke whale)
Lineage: Eukaryota; Metazoa; Chordata; Mammalia; Artiodactyla; Balaenopteridae
Exons: 4
Source: RefSeq, a predicted model, not a curated record